This 681-nucleotide ribosomal RNA is filed under the name uncultured archaeon. RNAcentral describes it as "bacterial SSU rRNA". It matches the Rfam family "Archaeal small subunit ribosomal RNA", at positions 765 to 1448 of the family's 1478-position model. The record is from RNAcentral.
GACUUGGUGUUGGGAAUCCUACGUGGGUGCCCAGUGCCGGAGAGAAGUUGUUAAGUCUGCCGCUUGGGUAGUACGAUCGCAAGACUGAAACUUAAAGGAAUUGGCGGGGGAGCACCGCAACGGGUGGAGCGUGCGGUUUAAUUGGAUUCAACGCCGGAAAACUCACCGGGGGCGACUGUUACAUGAAGGUCAGGUUGAUGACCUUACCAGAUUUUCAGAGAGGUGGUGCAUGGCCGUCGUCAGUUCGUACCGUAAGGCGUUCUGUCAAGUCAGAUAACGAACGAGACCCUCAUCCUUAUUUGCUAAUCCUUCCUUCGGGGGGGAAGCACUAUAAGGGGACCGCUGGCGCUAAGUCAGAGGAAGGAGAGGUCAACGGUAGGUCAGUAUGCCCCGAAUCUCCCGGGCAACACGCGCGCUACAAAGGUCGGGACAAUGAGUUCCAACCCCGAAAGGGGAAGGUAAUCUUCAAACCCGCCCAUAGUUCGGAUUGAGGGCUGUAACCCGCCCUCAUGAAGCUGGAAUCCGUAGUAAUCGCGGGUCAACAUCCCGCGGUGAAUGUGCCCCUGCUCCUUGCACACACCGCCCAUCAAACCACCCGAGUUGGGUCUGAAUGAGGGUCCCUCUUAUUGGGGAAUUCGAAUUUGGGUUCAGCGAGGAGGGUUAAGUCGUAACAAGGUAGCC